This 497-nucleotide ribosomal RNA is filed under the name uncultured bacterium. RNAcentral describes it as "partial 16S ribosomal RNA". It matches the Rfam family "Bacterial small subunit ribosomal RNA", at positions 28 to 507 of the family's 1533-position model. The record is from RNAcentral.
GAUGAACGCUGGCGGCGUGCCUAAUACAUGCAAGUCGAGCGAACAGACGAGGAGCUUGCUCCUCUGACGUUAGCGGCGGACGGGUGAGUAACGCGUGGAAAACCUACCUAUAAGACUGGGAUAACUUCGGGAAACCGGAGCUAAUACCGGAUAAUAUAUUGAUCCGUAUGGUUCAAUAGUGAAAGACGGUUGUGCUGUUACUUAUAGAUGGAUCCGCGCCGUAUUAGCUAGUUGGGAAGGUAACGGCUUACCAAGGCAACGAAGCGUAGCCGACCUGAGAGGGUGAUCGGCCACACUGGAACUGAGACACGGUCCAGACUCCUACGGGAGGCAGCAGUAGGGAAUCUUCCGCAAUGGGCGAAAGCCUGACGGAGCAACGCCGCGUGAUUAAUGAAGGUCUUCGGAUCGUAAAACUCUGUUAUUAGGGAAGAACAGAUGUGUAAGUAACUAUGCACGUCUUGACGGUACCUAAUCAGAAAGCCACGGCUAACUACGUG